CUCUCGGUAGCCAAGUUGGUUUAAGGCGCAAGACUGUAAUUUAUCACUACGAAAUCUUGAGAUCGGGCGUUCGACUCGCCCCCGGGAGACCA
RNAcentral lists this transfer RNA (92 nucleotides) under Saccharomyces cerevisiae (brewer's yeast). It matches the Rfam family "tRNA". Rfam says of the family: Transfer RNA (tRNA) molecules are approximately 80 nucleotides in length. Their secondary structure includes four short double-helical elements and three loops (D, anti-codon, and T loops). Further hydrogen bonds mediate the characteristic L-shaped molecular structure. tRNAs have two regions of fundamental functional importance: the anti-codon, which is responsible for specific mRNA codon recognition, and the 3' end, to which the tRNAs corresponding amino acid is attached (by aminoacyl-tRNA synthetases). tRNAs cope with the degeneracy of the genetic code in two manners: having more than one tRNA (with a specific anti-codon) for a particular amino acid; and 'wobble' base-pairing, i.e. permitting non-standard base-pairing at the 3rd anti-codon position. The record is from RNAcentral. Lineage: Eukaryota; Fungi; Ascomycota; Saccharomycetes; Saccharomycetales; Saccharomycetaceae.